AUUGAACGCUGGCGGCGGGCCUAACACAUGCAAGUCGAGCGGAUGAAGGGUGCUUGCUCCUGGUUUCAGCGGCGGACGGGUGUGUAAUGCCUAGGAAUCUUCCUGGCAGCGGGUGAUAACGUCCGGAAACGGGCGCUAAUACCGCAUACGUGCUGAGGGCUAAAGGGGGGGAUCUUCGGACCUCCGGCUAUCAGAUGAGCCUAGGUCGGAUUAGCUAGUUGGUGGGGUAAAGGCCUACCAAGGCGACGAUCCGUACCUGGUCUGAGAGGAUGAUCAGUCACACUGGAACUGAGACACGGUCCAGACUCCUACGGGAGGCAGCAGUGGGGAAUAUUGGACAAUGGGCGAAAGCCUGAUCCAGCCAUGCCGCGUGUGUGAAGAAGGUCUUCGGAUUGUAAAGCCCUUUAAGUGGGGAAGAAGGGCAGUAAGUUAAUACCUUGCUGUUUUGACGUUACCAACAGAAUAAGCACCGGCUAACUUCGUG
This 484-nucleotide ribosomal RNA is filed under the name uncultured bacterium. Its description in RNAcentral is "partial 16S ribosomal RNA". It matches the Rfam family "Bacterial small subunit ribosomal RNA", at positions 30 to 507 of the family's 1533-position model. The record is from RNAcentral.